AAAGGAUUGGCUCUAAGAACCGGGUUAUUCGGGCUUUGUUGCGAGGCUAGUUAGCUCUCGGUCAUGACUGCAGGAUGCUUCGGUUGAAUGCGGGCUAGUGCUGUAGGGUUGCUGGUUGAGCGGCUUUGCUUUCGGUGCUUCGUUUGUGAAGCGUGUCUUUCGGGAUGCGUGGAGCGGCGUUGUGCCUCGGGUAACGUUUAACGGUUGGCUUAGAACUGACACGGACUCAGGGAAUCCGACUGUCUAAUUAAAACAGAGCAGAUAGAAGGCGUUUAUGUGCGUUGACUAUCUGUGAUUUCUGCCCAGUGCUCUGAAUGUUAUGCUAAGGAAACUUGAUUAAGCGCGGGUAAACGGCGGGAGUAACUAUGACUCUCUUAAGGUAGCCAAAUGCCUCGUCAUCUAAUUAGUGACGUGCACGAAUGGAUUAACGAGAUUCCCACUGUCCCUAUCUACUAUCUAGCGAAAUCACAGCCAAGGGAACGGGCUUGGCAUGUUAUGCGGGGAAAGAAGACCCGAUUGAGCUUGACUCUAGUCUGACUUUGUGAAGAAUCAUAGAAGGUGUAGUAUAGGUGGGAGACUUCGGUCGUCAGUGAAAUACCACCACUUUUAUCGAUUCCUUACUUAUUCGGUUAUAUGGGGAUUGCUGUAUAGCUUUCUCUUGGCAUUAAGCCAUGGUGCUUGCACCGUGGUGACCCACGUCGAUGACAUUGUCAGGUGGGGAGUUUGACUGGGGCGGUACAUCUGUCAAACCGUAACGCAGGUGUCCUAAGCCGUACUCAGACAGGACAGAAACCUGUCGUAGACUAAAAGGAGAAAAGUAUGAUUGAUCUAGAUUCUCAGUACGAAUACAGACCGUUAAAGCGUGGCCUAUCGAUCCUUUUGGAUUAUGGAGUUUAUAAUAAGAGGUGUCAGAAAAGUUACCAUCGGGAUAACUGGCUUGUGG
RNAcentral lists this ribosomal RNA (943 nucleotides) under Panagrellus levitatus. RNAcentral's name for it is "eukaryotic LSU rRNA". It matches the Rfam family "Eukaryotic large subunit ribosomal RNA", at positions 1942 to 2840 of the family's 3401-position model. The record is from RNAcentral. Lineage: Eukaryota; Metazoa; Nematoda; Chromadorea; Rhabditida; Panagrolaimidae.